UCGCCCGCCGCGCGCGGCGGGCCUACGGGAGGCAGCAGUGGGGAAUAUUGCACAAUGGGCGCAAGCCUGAUGCAGCCAUGCCGCGUGUAUGAAGAAGGCCUUCGGGUUGUAAAGUACUUUCAGCGGGGAGGAAGGCGUUGAGGUUAAUAACCUCAGCGAUUGACGUUACCCGCAGAAGAAGCACCGGCUAACUCCGUGCCAGCAGCCGCGGUAAUA
This 216-nucleotide ribosomal RNA is filed under the name uncultured Citrobacter sp. RNAcentral's name for it is "partial 16S ribosomal RNA". It matches the Rfam family "Bacterial small subunit ribosomal RNA", at positions 308 to 525 of the family's 1533-position model. The record is from RNAcentral. Lineage: Bacteria; Pseudomonadati; Pseudomonadota; Gammaproteobacteria; Enterobacterales; Enterobacteriaceae.